AAAGCUCAAAUUUAAAAUCUGUUAGCCUUUGGUUGACCGAGUUGUAAUUUAGAGAAGCGUUAUCCGCGUCGGACUGUGUAUAAGUUUCCUGGAAUGGGACAUCAUAGAGGGUGAGAAUCCCGUCUUUGACACAGACUACCGAGGCUUUGUGAUGCGCUCUCGAAGAGUCGAGUUGUUUGGGAAUGCAGCUCAAAAUGGGAGGUAAAUUCCUUCUAAAGCUAAAUAUUGGCGAGAGACCGAUAGCGAA
Molecule: ribosomal RNA, 247 nt
Filed under: Athelia bombacina
Lineage: Eukaryota; Fungi; Basidiomycota; Agaricomycetes; Atheliales; Atheliaceae
Description: partial 28S ribosomal RNA
Rfam family: Eukaryotic large subunit ribosomal RNA
Source: RNAcentral